CGAACAAGCACACAGAGAACAGGGAGGCCUUCAGUGCAAACAGAACACCUAAGUAGCAAAAUAUCGCACAGUUCAGCAGUGGCAAACUAGUCCAAAACAGUUUAACACAAUGGCAAAUCUAGCAGCUACCAAAGUCCAAAAUAAGUCUAGAAAUACCAUCACCAAACAACAAAAUAGUGGCAAACUAGUCACAACCCACAUGCCACAAAGUAAGUCUAUAAAAUGAUAUUUAAAGUCUUAAAUACGAAUCACUGGAUGAGGCAUGAGACACUUCUUAAUAUGCUUCACUAAGCCAGCCAUAAUACUUUGGAUGACAAUUAUAAACUCGACCACAAUAAAGGUACUUUGCUUUGCGGGCUUCUUCAUUUACUUUAACUAGCUCAAAAUAUUCCCAAAUAGGCGAUCUAGCUUCAGGACUACGAGGCAUAGUUGAACCUACUAAAAAAAAAAGUUCAUGAGUUAAUAAAAUAUUUUUAAUUAUAAAUAACAAAAGAAUAUCAUAAAACAAGCAAAUCUUUAAACUUACCACUCGUUCAAACUAUGCAUCAACAAUGCUAGUAUCUCUUUCAACAAUACAAGUUUCUCUUCCGUUGCC
RNAcentral lists this long non-coding RNA (595 nucleotides) under Nicotiana tabacum (common tobacco). Its description in RNAcentral is "long non-coding RNA (NTAB_LNC017834)". Lineage: Eukaryota; Viridiplantae; Streptophyta; Magnoliopsida; Solanales; Solanaceae. The record is from RNAcentral.